AAGCUCGUAGUUGAAUUUCGGGGUUAGUAGGUUGGUCAUGCCUCUGGUAUGUACUGGUCUCACUGAUUCCUCCUUCCUUAUGAACCGUAAUGCCAUUAAUUUGGUGUUGCGGGGAAUUUGGACUGUUACUUUGAAAAAAUUAGAGUGUUUAAAGCAAGCUAACGCUUGAAUACAUUAGCAUGGAAUAAUGAAAUAGGACGUUCGAUCUUAUUUUGUUGGUUUCUAGGAUUGACGUAAUGAUUAAUAGGAUGUGNNGNGGCGG
RNAcentral lists this ribosomal RNA (262 nucleotides) under uncultured Glomus. Its description in RNAcentral is "partial 18S ribosomal RNA". It matches the Rfam family "Eukaryotic small subunit ribosomal RNA", at positions 624 to 890 of the family's 1831-position model. The record is from RNAcentral. Lineage: Eukaryota; Fungi; Glomeromycota; Glomeromycetes; Glomerales; Glomeraceae.